Molecule: long non-coding RNA, 1164 nt
Organism: Budorcas taxicolor (takin)
Lineage: Eukaryota; Metazoa; Chordata; Mammalia; Artiodactyla; Bovidae
Exons: 3
Source: RefSeq, a predicted model, not a curated record
GGGGAGCUCGCUGCCUGCCUGCCUGCCUGCUCGAGCCGGGGACGAGACGCCCCCCACCUCUCCAGCUCGGCCUCUCCGUCCAAGUUCCCGGUCCCCGGCCGCCCGGAUCCGGGGAUGGCAACCGCCGCCCGCCCGCCUCUGCGCCCUUUUUUCCAGCCGCCGCGCAGAAAUUUAGGUCAAGGACGUCGGGAUCAAACCCAAACCCUGGCGCUCCUCGGGCGCUCCCGGAGACCCCCAGGACGAGGGGCGGGGGGCUUUCAGGAUGGUGCGGACACCCUCCGCACAAACCCCAGCCACAAGUUUUAUUUUCCCUUCGCGCUGGAAGUUCUGUCUGGCUCUCGAUCCACACCGGCACGUCUUGCGCGGCUCCCCGCCCUUCCCCGGCAGAGGAACUUUUGUAUCCAUGUCCGUAAGUCAAUCAGGCUGCAGUUUUCCCUUCUCAUAUUGCCUUUCUCUGGUUAUAUUGGCCUCAUAAAAUGAUCUGUGGUCAUGUAUGGAUGUGAGAGUUGGACUAUAAAGAAAGCUGAGCACCGAAGAAUUGAUGCUUUUGAACUAUGGUGUUGGAGAAGACUUGAGAGUCCCUUGGACUACAAGGAGAUCCAACCAGUCCAUCCUAAAGGAGAUCAGUCCUAGGUGUUCACUGGAAGGACUGAUGUUGAAGCUGAAACUCCAAUACUUUGGCCACCUGAUGCGAAGAGCUGACUCAUUUGAAAAGACCCUGAUGCUGGGAAAGAUUGAGGGCAGGAGGAGAAAGGGACAACAGAGGAUGAGAUGGUUGGAUGGCAUCGCUGACACAAUGGACAUGGGUUUCGGUGGACUCCAGGAGUUGGUGAUGGACAGGGAGGCCUGGUGUGCUGCGGUUCAUGGGGUCUCAAAGAGUCGGACAUGACUGAGCGACUGAACUGAACUAUUUUAUUAUUGUUAUUAUUUUUUAUCUUUUGGCCAAACUGCACAGAAUGUGAGAUCUUAGAUCUUACUUCCCUGGUCAGGGAUCAAACCCAUGCCCCCUGCAUUGGCAGCACAGUCUUAUGCUCUGGACCACCAGGCAAGUCUCUUUGUUCUCUUUUGUUCCCUCUGCCUUCCUCUUUCCUUAUCUCCAACUCAGAAUUAUCAGGUUAACCAGGACGAACGCUCCCUGCACACCUAGCUGAAUGAGAACAGGUU